UUAAGCGACUAAGCGUACACGGUGGAUGCCCUGGCAGUCAGAGGCGAUGAAGGACGUGCUAAUCUGCGAAAAGCGCCGGCGAGGUGAUAUGAACCUUUGACCCGGCGAUGUCCGAAUGGGGAAACCCAGUGUGUUUCGACACACUAUCGUUAACUGAAUACAUAGGUUAACGAGGCGAACCGGGGGAACUGAAACAUCUAAGUACCCCGAGGAAAAGAAAUCAACCGAGAUUCCCCCAGUAGCGGCGAGCGAACGGGGAGCAGCCCAGAGCCUGAAUCAGCUUGUGUGUUAGUGGAAGCGUCUGGAAAGUCGCAGGGUACAGGGUGAUACUCCCGUACACGAAGAUACACAUGCUGUGAACUCGAAGAGUAGGGCGGGACACGUGGUAUCCUGUCUGAAUAUGGGGGGACCAUCCUCCAAGGCUAAAUACUCCUGACUGACCGAUAGUGAACCAGUACCGUGAGGGAAAGGCGAAAAGAACCCCGGCGAGGGGAGUGAAAAAGAACCUGAAACCGUGUACGUACAAGCAGUGGGAGCACCUUCGUGGUGUGACUGCGUACCUUUUGUAUAAUGGGUCAGCGACUUAUAUUCUGUAGCAAGGUUAACCGUAUAGGGGAGCCGAAGGGAAACCGAGUCUUAACUGGGCGUUAAGUUGCAGGGUAUAGACCCGAAACCCGGUGAUCUAGCCAUGGGCAGGUUGAAGGUUGGGUAACACUAACUGGAGGACCGAACCGACUAAUGUUGAAAAAUUAGCGGAUGACUUGUGGCUGGGGGUGAAAGGCCAAUCAAACCGGGAGAUAGCUGGUUCUCCCCGAAAGCUAUUUAGGUAGCGCCUCGUGAAUUCAUCUCCGGGGGUAGAGCACUGUUUCGGCUAGGGGGCCAUCCCGGCUUACCAACCCGAUGCAAACUGCGAAUACCGGAGAAUGUUAUCACGGGAGACACACGGCGGGUGCUAACGUCCGUCGUGAAGAGGGAAACAACCCAGACCGCCAGCUAAGGUCCCAAAGUCAUGGUUAAGUGGGAAACGAUGUGGGAAGGCACAGACAGCCAGGAUGUUGGCUUAGAAGCAGCCAUCAUUUAAAGAAAGCGUAAUAGCUCACUGGUCGAGUCGGCCUGCGCGGAAGAUGUAACGGGGCUAAACCAUGCACCGAAGCUGCGGCAGCGACACUAUGUGUUGUUGGGUAGGGGAGCGUUCUGUAAGCCUGCGAAGGUGUGCUGUGAGGCAUGCUGGAGGUAUCAGAAGUGCGAAUGCUGACAUAAGUAACGAUAAAGCGGGUGAAAAGCCCGCUCGCCGGAAGACCAAGGGUUCCUGUCCAACGUUAAUCGGGGCAGGGUGAGUCGACCCCUAAGGCGAGGCCGAAAGGCGUAGUCGAUGGGAAACAGGUUAAUAUUCCUGUACUUGGUGUUACUGCGAAGGGGGGACGGAGAAGGCUAUGUUAGCCGGGCGACGGUUGUCCCGGUUUAAGCAUGUAGGCUGAUUAUCCAGGCAAAUCCGGAUAAUCAAGGCUGAGGUGUGAUGACGAGUCACUACGGUGAUGAAGUAACAAAUGCCCUGCUUCCAGGAAAAGCCUCUAAGCAUCAGGUAACAUCAAAUCGUACCCCAAACCGACACAGGUGGUCAGGUAGAGAAUACCAAGGCGCUUGAGAGAACUCGGGUGAAGGAACUAGGCAAAAUGGUGCCGUAACUUCGGGAGAAGGCACGCUGAUAUGUAGGUGAAGCCCCUGCGGGUGGAGCUGAAAUCAGUCGAAGAUACCAGCUGGCUGCAACUGUUUAUUAAAAACACAGCACUGUGCAAACACGAAAGUGGACGUAUACGGUGUGACGCCUGCCCGGUGCCGGAAGGUUAAUUGAUGGGGUUAGCGGCAACGCGAAGCUCUUGAUCGAAGCCCCGGUAAACGGCGGCCGUAACUAUAACGGUCCUAAGGUAGCGAAAUUCCUUGUCGGGU
Molecule: ribosomal RNA, 1947 nt
Filed under: metagenome
Description: bacterial LSU rRNA
Rfam family: Bacterial large subunit ribosomal RNA
Source: RNAcentral